Molecule: transfer RNA, 68 nt
Filed under: Marmota monax (woodchuck)
Lineage: Eukaryota; Metazoa; Chordata; Mammalia; Rodentia; Sciuridae
Description: tRNA.Ala
Source: RNAcentral
GUUGUGGCUCACUGGUAGAGCACUUGUCUAGCAUGUGCGAGAUACUGGGUUCGAUACUCAGCACCACA